CACAACGUAAAUGCACCACUCACCUUGAG
This 29-nucleotide small RNA is filed under the name Bombyx mori (domestic silkworm). RNAcentral's name for it is "ovarian small RNA-12881". Lineage: Eukaryota; Metazoa; Arthropoda; Insecta; Lepidoptera; Bombycidae. The record is from RNAcentral.